This 253-nucleotide ribosomal RNA is filed under the name uncultured bacterium. RNAcentral describes it as "partial 16S ribosomal RNA". It matches the Rfam family "Bacterial small subunit ribosomal RNA", at positions 524 to 776 of the family's 1533-position model. The record is from RNAcentral.
UACAGAGGGUGCAAGCGUUGUUCGGAAUUAUUGGGCGUAAAGCGCGUGUAGGCGGCUUUGCAAGUCGGGUGUGAAAGCCCUCGGCUCAACCGAGGAAGUGCGCCCGAAACUGCAGAGCUUGAGUACCGGAGAGGGUGGCGGAAUUCCCCAAGUAGAGGUGAAAUUCGUAGAUAUGGGGAGGGACACCGGUGGCGAAGGCGGCCACCUGGACGGAUACUGACGCUGAGACGCGAAAGCGUGGGUAGCAAACAGG